GCAAGAUACUAUAUAAGAUGCAAAAACUGAAUAAUAUCCCUGCCCUCAUGGAUCAUCCAAUCUAGCUGGAAAUACAGAACACUUUCACCUUGGACUCAAGAGAUGUAGUCUUUAUGAAAUACUGUGCUUAGCUUCUAAAGAGUGUGAAGAGAGUCAAUCAUUGGAAAUACAGCUUGGAACACUUCUUUCCUGAUAGAAGACUAGAAGACCACAAUCAGG
RNAcentral lists this long non-coding RNA (219 nucleotides) under Monodelphis domestica (gray short-tailed opossum). RNAcentral describes it as "lncRNA (ENSMODG00000039710.1)". Lineage: Eukaryota; Metazoa; Chordata; Mammalia; Didelphimorphia; Didelphidae. The record is from RNAcentral.